Molecule: transfer RNA, 54 nt
Filed under: Diaphorina citri (Asian citrus psyllid)
Lineage: Eukaryota; Metazoa; Arthropoda; Insecta; Hemiptera; Psyllidae
Rfam family: tRNA
About the family: Transfer RNA (tRNA) molecules are approximately 80 nucleotides in length. Their secondary structure includes four short double-helical elements and three loops (D, anti-codon, and T loops).
Source: Rfam by way of RNAcentral
UCACUGCGCUCGCCUUGCACGCGGGAGACCCGGGUUCGAUUCCCGGCGAGGUCA